Molecule: ribosomal RNA, 450 nt
Filed under: uncultured prokaryote
Description: bacterial SSU rRNA
Rfam family: Bacterial small subunit ribosomal RNA
Source: RNAcentral
CAGGGAAUUUUGUCCAAUGGGCGCAAGCCUGAGACAGUAACGCCGCGUGUGGGAUGAAGGCCCUCGGGUCGUAAACCACUGUCAGAAGGGAAGAACAUCCCGGUGGCUAAUAUCCGCCGGGCUUGACGGUACCUUCAAAGGAAGCACCGGCUAACUCCGUGCCAGCAGCCGCGGUAAUACGGAGGGUGCAAGCGUUGUUCGGAAUUACUGGGCGUAAAGCGCGUGUAGGCGGUCGGGCAAGUCGGAUGUGAAAUCCCCGGGCUCAACCCGGGAACUGCAUCCGAAACUGCUCGGCUAGAGUCCCGGAGAGGAAGGCAGAAUUCCCAGUGUAGGGGUGAAAUCCGUAGAUAUUGGGAGGAAUACCAGUGGCGAAGGCGGCCUUCUGGACGGUGACUGACGCUGAGACGCGAAAGCGUGGGGAGCAAACAGGAUUAGAUACCCCCGUAGUCC